AGGAGGCAAGUCAAUUGACUAUGAAUCUUCUUUAAAGGAACCUUAAUAUCGUCUGUAAGACCAAGGAUUAUCCCCAGCCGCAGUCCUGAGGGGAUGGAGUGUAGCACAUCAAAUCAUUUAUGUUGUCAUAAAAUCCCAAACUAUGACGUAACUAGCAGAUAAAAGUAAUGCUUUCCCAAAGACCAGGAUGACAACAUCUCAGUAUCUUAUAUGUGUUUCUGGCAAGCAAUGUUAAAAGAAUAAUAGUGUAGCUUCAAGUUGAAUUGAAUUCUCACAUGGAUUACAGUUAAACUACUCUUGUAAUAUUAGCGAUAAUCUAGAAAACUUUUAGAACAGAAAAAAAUUCUAUAAAGGCUAUGGUAGUUACUCCAGUUUUUGUUGUUGUUCAUAAAGCUACAUUAUUUAACGUAAAGGAAUAUUAUUCUAAGAUCAGUUUUUGAAAAUGUUUAUUGUAGGAAUAAAUUUGUUUUCUCAUUGAAAUUAUUCAAGACUCUUUCUUUUACUUAGAUUAAAUUCUUUCUCCGCGAAGCUCAGGGACAUUCUAGAAACUUCAUAUUUCUAGCCAGAAAAUUAAGACAUGGUUUUAUAAGAUCAGUCCUAGUGUUUCUUAUCUCUGUUUGCUGCAAUUAACAAAUAUAAUAAAAGAUGAAUCUGUGAUAUGAGAAAUGAAAUUUAAAUUUUCUGGUAUUUAACUGUUUUUACUUUUUGAUUAAACAUCAUUAAACAAUUAUUGGAAUUUUGAAAAUACAUGGAAAAUAAACUUAUCCAUGUAAGUUUAAAGUAGCUCCCAUGGUAUUUAUAAAUUAAGGGGGUAUGUGGAACUGAAUAAAUAGGCCUCUCUGUGCCUUUGGUUAGGGAUCUAUAUUUUUCUUUCCCAGAGUUCAAGGAAGAAGUACUUUUAUAAAGAAAGAUUUCUGCAGGAGCUCCUGAGGUGGCUCAGUGGUUAACGAACCUGACUAGUAUCCAUGAGGACGUGGGUUCGAUCCCUGGCCUUACUCAGUGGGUUAAGAAUCCGACAUGGGGAGUUCCCGUAGUGGUGCAGUGGUUAACGAAUCCGACUAGGAACCAUGAGGUUGCAGGUUCGAUCCCGGCCUUGCUCAGUGGGUUAAGGAUCUGGCGUUGCUGUGAGCUGUGGUGUAGGUUGCAGACACGGCACGGAUCCUGCGUUGCUGUGGCUCUGGCGUAGGCCGGUGGCUACAGCUCCGAUUCAACCCCUAGCCUGGGAACCUCCAUAUGCCUCCACAGUGGCCCAAGAAAUGGCCAGUUCAGAUUCAACCCCUAGCCAUGUGUCGCAUGUGUGGCCCUAAAAAGACAAAAAAAAAAAGAAAAGAAGUAUUUUUGUAUAAUCAAGUGUAUGCAUUUGAUGCAUUUGAUCCUUUACACAUUCAAAUAGAAGUACAGAGACGCAUCAGUCUGAAAUUGUCUGUACUCAGCCUCAAGUUAGAUCACUGAAGCCUUAGAUGUUCCAGCAGAGCCUGAUUAAGAGGCAGAGGAAAUGUAAAAAAUGUGCAAAUGAUUUAAAAACACAGUGUUGCUCCUGAGUGUGCUACUGCAGGAGGAGAUUACGAAGGUGUGGUCCCCACUGCUAGUUGGAAUUAAAACUGCCAUGUAAAAUCCCCUGGUGUCCAGGUCUUCAGUCAUGCAGACUUUUUACAAAAGAUGUAGGUAUUUUGAGUCAGCAAAAGAAUAAUGAAAAUGUGAGGUUUUAUAUGAAAGAAGAAUAUUAUAUGAUUUAUGUAUUUUAGCAAGGGUGUGAGAGGGGAAAAUAACUCUCUCUUAAUUAACUUCUUAUGUCCUUGCCUGAUUUAGGAUUAUAUACAAUUAACGUAAUAAGUUAAAAUGUCAUGAAGUAUUUUUUGAACAAAUUUUUUUUUUUUUUUUUGUCUUUUUGCCUUUUCUUGAGCCGCUCCCGCAGCAUAUGGAUGUUCCCAGGCUAGGGAUCUAAUCAGAGCCAUAGCCGCCGGCCUAUGCCAGAGCCACAGCAAUGCGGGAUCCGAGCCGAGUCUGCGACCUAGACCACAGCUCAUGGUAACGCCGGAUCCUUAACCCACUGAGCAAGGGCAGGGAUCAAACCCGAAACCUCAUGGUUCCUAGUCGGAUUUGUUAACCACUGCGCCAUGAUGGGAACUCCACAAAUAUAUUUUUUUUUUUUUGGCUGUGCCUGUGGCAUGCGAAAGUUCCCAGGCCAGGAAUCCAACCCGAGCCACAGCAGUGACUUAAGCCUUGCCCUGACAAUGCUGGAUCCCCAACCUGCUGCACUACAAGGGAACUGCAUGAAGUAUUUUUGAUACUGGGUGUUUUUGUAAUUGUUGCUCUUCAGUGAGUCAACCGUUAGAUGGAAGAGCAUCAUUCUCUUAACUUCAGAUCCAUAAUUUGGUAGGAGAUGCCCAGGAUUAUCUUGGCUUUUCUAUGGUUGUAGAGAAAUAACUCUCCUUCACAGCCACCACUCAGAAAUGUAUUAAAUUUAUUUAUACUUUCGUCAGUUGUCAGGAGAAGUAGGAGAGUGGUCUUGGAAGGUAAAAGUUACGAAUUAGAGCAAAUGUCUCAAGCCGCUUUCCUGUUCUCUUGCCCUUUGUCAAUUGAUUAAAUGUUGAGUACAUUCUCCAGCCCUGUCUCGUUUUGAGUACAGCUGUAGACAUAGUAUGUAUGUGAGAACAAGGGUACAACUGCUGUAAAAAUAAUAGAAACCUAAAUGUCCAUUGGCAGAGAAAUGGAUAGAGAAGCUGUGGUAUUUGGUUACCAAAGAGGAAAGUGGGGGAGGGAGAAAUUAGGAGGUUGGGAUUAACAGAUACACCACUACUAUAUAUAAAAUAGAUAAGCAAUAAGGACCUAUACAGCACAGGGAACUAUAUUCAGUUAUCUUGUAGUAACCUAUAAAGGAAAAGAAUCUGGUAAAGAAUAGAUAAAUAUGUAUAACCGAAUCACUGCUAUACACAUGAAACUAACAUGACGGUAUAAAUCAACUGUACUUUAAUUAAAAAAUAAAAUAAUUUUAAAGAUGAAAACAAGUAAAAGAAACAAUAGUUCUGUUGGCCCCAUGCAUUCCUCUUGUCCUUAAAGUAGAUUUUGUCAACUUAACUUAAAAUUCCUUUAAUUCCAAUUUAAAGUUGAACUCAAUCAUAGAUAGCUAGAAGCUUGGGUUUGGAGAUGACUAUAGAUAACAGAAGAUUUUUGCCAAGAUCACCUUAUACUUUCUUUAUCAGAUGCUCUUUCUUAAAUGAUAGGUUCAAGUAUUUAAAAAAAAAUUCCAAAUAUAAUCUUAUUAAACUUUUUUUUUCUUUUUUAAUGGUCGCACCUAUGGCAUAUAGAAGUUCCCAGGCCAGGGAUUGAACCCACGCCUCCACAGCGACCUAAGUUGUUGCAGUCAGAUUCUUAACCCACUGUGCCACGGUGGGAACUCCAAAUAUAAUCUUAAAACGUUUUUUUUUUUUCAGUUUUCUCCUUGAAAUUAUUUAUAGACUUUUUCCUCACAUAGAUUUAGUUCAUUUUCCAGAUAGUUCAGGGACAUUUUAGAAACUUCCAACUUCUACACAGAAAUGAAAGACAUUCUUUUAUAGAGACAGAGUGGAUCAACCUUGGUGUUUCUUAUCUUUCUCUACUGCUGUUAGCAAAUGUAAUAAAAGUUAAAUCUCUUUACAGUACAGAUAUGAGAAAGAAAUCUAAAUUUUCUCAUGUUGGAUAAUUUAUAUUUAAAAAAAGUAAACAUUAGUUUAAGUCCUGAUAUUAUGCCAGGAACUAACAUGCAUGGCCAUUGGCUCUCGUUGGGUGGAGUGAUUUUUCUUAAAAAACCUCUUUAUGAGGAAAAAUCUUUGGCCCUGAGUUUCUAAUGUCAUUGAAGGCCUCUGAUAAUUUGCUUAUAAAAGUUUUCUGAGGGAGUUCCUGUGGUGGCUCAGCGGAAAUGAACCCUACUAGUAUCCCUGAGAAUGUGGGAUCGAUCCCUGGCCUCCCUCAAUGGGUUAAGGAUCCGGCGUUGCCAUGAGCUGUGGGGUAGGUGGCAGAAACGGCUCAGAGCCCAAGUUGCUGUGGCUGUGAUGUAGGCCAGUAGCUGCAGCUCCAGUUUGACCCCUAGCAUGGGAACUUCCAUAUGCCACAGGUACGGCCAUAAAAAGACCCCCGCCCCCCAAAAAAAAAGUUUUCUGACAAUGUAUAUGAAUUUCUUUGAAAAAUUACAGGAUAGAUCAUUUAAAUGUAAUUAAAAAAAAAAAAACAACAACCCAAUAAUCACAAUAUUGUUCACUCUGGUUUUCUGAUACAGCAAAAUGUGUGUUGAUAUUUUCAGCCACCUUGAUAUAGGUACUUUCCUGUUGCUGUUUUGGCUGUAAAGCAGACAGCCUUCUCAGAGUGACUCCUUUGUGAGUGUGAUUGCCCAGUUAUGCGUGAGUAUGGUCAGCGUGGAAAUCCAAUUCAAGUAGCAGAAUAGCAUCUGUGAGUUGAAAUAUAAGAGCGUGUGUCUGUGUGUGUGUGUUUAGGGGGUGGAGGACAACACAUACAGAUUGAAGCAACAGUAAGUGGGGCCGAAAUCCUCUGUAAAGAGAAUUGGUUAUUGCAGCUGAUAAAUGUGGCAAUGGGUAGUUAAAACAUAACGUUUUCCUCAGGGUUGUCUUAGAACAGUUUGUGGUGUUGAGAACCUGCCUUGGGUUUCUUAAUAAUGUUUUCCUAGCUGCCUAAUUAGGGUGUGCUACUAAUGCGCUCCAGAAAGUUUCAGCUCCAAAAGAAGUUGCCAAAAGAGGAGAAGCCUUGGUGUGUACCAGUCUGGAAAAGUACCAGAAUGCUGCCUGUGUUUAGGGGUGAGAGGUGGAAGCGGCUCCCCAGUGCCCUGAGUGCAUCAUCAUGACAUGCGGUGGGCAGCUUUGUCAGCACUCCCUCCUCAUCUGUGUGUGGUUUUAUCCCCUACAUCUGAGCUUCCGUAUUUUUCUAGGUCCGCUCGUGGGCUCAGCAACAGGAUUCAGCCCUGAGUGUGUUGCUUGUUUCCACCCGCAUAGACAGUAUAUCACUGGGAACGUUUUUGGCUGCAACUGAAAAGCUCUGCACUGGGCUAGACAGACGUUCAUUUUCCUUAGGUAACAGGAGGUCGAGCUGCUCGGCAGUCUGGGUUCACACAGCUGCACCAGUGCUGUUAAGGACCAGGCUCUUACUGUUUUGGGGGAGGGCAUCUUAGUUAUGAAAAUUUUCAGGGAGGUAAUCCUUCUGGUGACUUCAGCCUGUAUCACCUUGACAAGAACUGUGUAUGUCUGCCAUCAGCUGCUGGGGGGCGGGGCGGGGGGCUCUUGUGUUUUCAUCUGUGCACGUGGCUGCCCUGGAAGGUAGUUGGUGUUGUGUUAAUAAGAGAGAGGACUUGGGGAGUUCUCUUGUGGUGCAGUGGGUUGAGGGUCCAGCAUCACUGCACCAGCUUAGGUCGCUGCUGUGGCACCACAGGUUUGAUCCCUGGCUCAGGAACUUCCA
Molecule: long non-coding RNA, 5442 nt
Filed under: Sus scrofa (pig)
Lineage: Eukaryota; Metazoa; Chordata; Mammalia; Artiodactyla; Suidae
Description: lncRNA (ENSSSCG00000061365.1)
Source: RNAcentral